CAUUGAUAUUGAUGUCACUUUGAGUUUAAAUUAUUAUAGAAAAAGAAUUUAAAAACAACCUUUAAAGGAAAUAUUUCCUCUCUUCCCUUAGGCUUACACUUUCCAAGCACUUGAGGAGUGAACCCGAUCGUCCCAGGAUGACUGCAGCUCCUGACGUCCCCGCACCCCUGACCUUGGAGCACAUGACCCUGACCCAUCGUGUUGUGGAAACGACCCCUCUGGGCAGCCCCCAGGAAUCUCCAUACAACCCAGACAACAAAGUCGCCCGGUAGUGGGGAGUGAUCAGGCGCCCUGCACUUCCCGAGGCAUCCGUUCCAGGUUGGAGAGGGGCAGAGAGUCGCGGCGCGCCCCAUCCCGCCCGAGGGCUUCGGCCACCGGUCCGUGGGUCUGGCCCCGGGCGGCCUCUCUCGGGAGCGGAGGCAGCAGGACCCGGGUCCCGUCCGGCUUUCCUGGGGAGGCUCGAGGCCGCAGAGCCGGGCCCGCCUGCGGCGGAGUCUUCUUUCCGAGGGCCUGGGGCAGGGGUGGGCGCGGAGGGCAGGAGCCGGGGCCGGGCGCGAGUCUUGCUACCGGGCCGAGCACACGAGGAUCGGCGGAGCGCGAAGGCAGAGCUCUGCGGAGCCUCGGCUCCUUUCCCCGGCCCGGCUCCCGUUUUAAAGGAAUGUUAUUGUUUAAGGAGACCCCAUUGAACUAUUUCCUGCUCAUUGUCACCUUCUCCCCGCGGAGGUUCUCACCGAAAGGUAAUAAACCAGCUGCUGCCCACGCCGCUUGACGCUGCGGCCGGCGGGGCAACUGCGCCCGCCCUCAGCGAAGCCUCCGCCGAGGGGACCCAGCGCCGCGCCCUGAGCCCUCGCCGUCCAGCCCCGCUCGCGCGUGGGGCGAGGCGUCUCCUCGGCGG
This 895-nucleotide long non-coding RNA is filed under the name Chinchilla lanigera (long-tailed chinchilla). Its description in RNAcentral is "lncRNA (ENSCLAG00000028788.1)". The record is from RNAcentral. Lineage: Eukaryota; Metazoa; Chordata; Mammalia; Rodentia; Chinchillidae.